GGAGUCUGGGCCGUGUCUCAGUCCCAAUGUGGCUGAUCAUCCUCUCAGACCAGCUAGAGAUCGUCGCCUAGGUGAGCCUUUACCUCACCUACCAGCUAAUCCCGUUUGGGCACAUCUGAUAGCGCAUUGCUGCUUUCCCCCUCAGGGUGUAUGCGGUAUUAGCAGCCGUUUCCAGCUGUUGUCCCCCUCCUAUCAGGCAGUUUCCCAAAUCUUACUCACCCGUCCGCCACUCGUCAGCAAGGAAGCAAGCUUCCUCCUGUUACCGUCCGACUUGCAUGUAUUAGGCCUGCCGCCAGCGUUCAAU
Molecule: ribosomal RNA, 304 nt
Filed under: uncultured Succinivibrio sp.
Lineage: Bacteria; Pseudomonadati; Pseudomonadota; Gammaproteobacteria; Aeromonadales; Succinivibrionaceae
Description: partial 16S ribosomal RNA
Source: RNAcentral